CUACGGGAUGCACCAGUGGGGAAUAUUGGACAAUGGGGGAAACCCUGAUCCAGCAAUGCCGCGUGUGUGAAGAAGGCCUGCGGGUUGUAAAGCACUUUCGGUUGGGAGGACUGCUUCUAGCACUAAUAUUGUUGGAAGUUGACGUUACCUUCAGAAGAAGCACCGGCUAACUCCGUGCCAGCAGCCGCGGUAAUACGGAGGGUGCAAGCGUAAUCGAAAUUACUGGGCGUAAAGCGCGCGUAGGCGGCUAGAUCAGUCGGGUGUGAAAGCCCCGGGCUUAACCUGGGAACUGCAUCCGAUACUGUCUAGCUUGAGUACAGGAGAGGAGAGUGGAAUUCCACAUGUAGCGGUGAUAUGCGUAGAUAUGUGGAGGAACACCAAUGGCGAAGGCAGCUCUCUGGCCUGAUACUGACGCUGAGGUGCGAAAGCGUGGGGAGCAAACAGGAUUAGAUACCCCAGUAGUC
RNAcentral lists this ribosomal RNA (464 nucleotides) under uncultured bacterium. Its description in RNAcentral is "partial 16S ribosomal RNA". It matches the Rfam family "Bacterial small subunit ribosomal RNA", at positions 339 to 795 of the family's 1533-position model. The record is from RNAcentral.